AUUGAACGCUGGCGGCAUGCCUUACACAUGCAAGUCGAACGGCAGCACGGGAGCAAUCCUGGUGGCGAGUGGCGAACGGGUGAGUAAUACAUCGGAACGUGCCCAGUAGUGGGGGAUAACCCGGCGAAAGCCGGACUAAUACCGCAUACGACCUACGGGUGAAAGCAGGGGAUCGCAAGACCUUGCGCUAUCGGAGCGGCCGAUGUCAGAUUAGCUAGUUGGUGGGGAGAAGCCCACCAAGGCGACGAUCUGUAGCUGGUCUGAGAGGACGACCAGCCACACUGGGACUGAGACACGGCCCAGACUCCUACGGGAGGCAGCAGUGGGGAAUUUGGACAAUGGGCGCAAGCCUGACUCC
Molecule: ribosomal RNA, 358 nt
Filed under: uncultured bacterium
Lineage: Bacteria
Description: bacterial SSU rRNA
Rfam family: Bacterial small subunit ribosomal RNA
Source: RNAcentral